GACGAACGCUGGCGGCAUGCCUAAUACAUGCAAGUCGAACGAGCACUUCGGUGGUAGUGGCGCACGGGUGCGUAACGCGUGGGAACCUGCCCUUGGGUUCGGAAUUACGUCGGGAAACUGCCGCUAAUACCGGAUGAUGACGGUAGUCCAAAGAUUUAUCGCCCAGGGAUGAGCCCGGGUAGGAUUAGCUAGUUGGUGGGGUAAAGGCCUACCAAGGCGACGAUCCUUAGCUGGUCUGAGAGGAUGAUCAGCCACACUGGGACUGGGACACGGCCCAGACUCCUACGGGGGGCAGCAGUAGGGAAUAUUGGACAAUGGGAGCAACCCUGAUCCAGCAAUGCCGCGUGAGUGAUGAAGGCCUUAGGGUUGUAAAGCUCUUUUACCCGGGAUGAUAAUGACAGUACCGGGAGAAUAAGCCCCGGCUAACUCCGUGCCAGCAGCCGCCGUAA
RNAcentral lists this ribosomal RNA (449 nucleotides) under uncultured bacterium. RNAcentral's name for it is "partial 16S ribosomal RNA". It matches the Rfam family "Bacterial small subunit ribosomal RNA", at positions 28 to 523 of the family's 1533-position model. The record is from RNAcentral.